RNAcentral lists this transfer RNA (73 nucleotides) under Uloborus diversus. RNAcentral describes it as "transfer RNA tyrosine (anticodon GUA)". It matches the Rfam family "tRNA". From Rfam's summary of the family: Transfer RNA (tRNA) molecules are approximately 80 nucleotides in length. Their secondary structure includes four short double-helical elements and three loops (D, anti-codon, and T loops). The record is from RNAcentral. RNAcentral also lists the same sequence under 3 other names. Lineage: Eukaryota; Metazoa; Arthropoda; Arachnida; Araneae; Uloboridae.
CCGUCGAUAGCUCAGUUGGCAGAGCGGUGGACUGUAGAUCCAUAGGUCGCUGGUUCGACUCCGGCUCGGCGGA